ACGUAGGGUGCGAGCGUUAAUCGGAAUUACUGGGCGUAAAGCGUGCGCAGGCGGUUUGGUAAGACAGGCGUGAAAUCCCCGGGCUUAACCUGGGAAUGGCGAUGGAGACUGCGAGGCUUGAGUUUGGCAGAGGGGGGUAGAAUUCCACGUGUAGCAGUGAAAUGCGUAGAGAUGUGGAGGAACACCGAUGGCGAAGGCAGGUCUCUGGGCAUUAACUGACGCUGAGGAGCGAAAGCAUGGGGAGCGAACAGGA
RNAcentral lists this ribosomal RNA (253 nucleotides) under uncultured prokaryote. RNAcentral describes it as "partial 16S ribosomal RNA". It matches the Rfam family "Bacterial small subunit ribosomal RNA", at positions 525 to 777 of the family's 1533-position model. The record is from RNAcentral.